Molecule: ribosomal RNA, 492 nt
Filed under: uncultured bacterium
Lineage: Bacteria
Description: partial 16S ribosomal RNA
Rfam family: Bacterial small subunit ribosomal RNA
Source: RNAcentral
AGUGAACGCUGGCGGUAGGCCUAACACAUGCAAGUCGAACGGCAGCACAGUAAGAGCUUGCUCUUACGGGUGGCGAGUGGCGGACGGGUGAGGAAUACAUCGGAAUCUACUUUUUCGUGGGGGAUAACGUAGGGAAACUUACGCUAAUACCGCAUACGACCUACGGGUGAAAGCAGGGGAUCUUCGGACCUUGCGCGAUUGAAUGAGCCGAUGUCGGAUUAGCUAGUUGGCGGGGUAAAGGCCCACCAAGGCGACGAUCCGUAGCUGGUCUGAGAGGAUGAUCAGCCCCACUGGAACUGAGACACGGUCCAGCCUCCUACGGGCGGCAGCAGUGGGGAAUAUUGGACAAUGGGCGCAAGCCUAAUCCAGCCAUACCGCGUGGGUGAAGAAGGCCUUCGGGUUGUAAAGCCCUUUUGUUGGGAAAGAAAAGCAGCAGGUUAAUACCCCGCUGUUCUGGCGGUCCCCAAUGAAUAAGCACCGGCUAACUUCGUG